UGGGGAAUUUUGGACAAUGGGGGAAACCCUGAUCCAGCCAUCCCGCGUGUGCGAUGAAGGCCUUCGGGUUGUAAAGCACUUUUGGCAGGAAAGAAACGUCGCGGGUUAAUACCCCGCGAAACUGACGGUACCUGCAGAAUAAGCACCGGCUAACUACGUGCCAGCAGCCGCGGUAAUACGUAGGGUGCAAGCGUUAAUCGGAAUUACUGGGCGUAAAGCGUGCGCAGGCGGUUCGGAAAGAAAGAUGUGAAAUCCCAGAGCUUAACUUUGGAACUGCAUUUUUAACUACCGGGCUAGAGUGUGUCAGAGGGAGGUGGAAUUCCGCGUGUAGCAGUGAAAUGCGUAGAUAUGCGGAGGAACACCGAUGGCGAAGGCAGCCUCCUGGGAUAACACUGACGCUCAUGCACGAAAGCGUGGGGAGCAAACGGGAUUAGAUACCCUGGUAGUCCACGCCCUAAACGAUGUCAACUAGCUGUUGGGGCCUUCGGGCCUUGGUAGCGCAGCUAACGCGUGAAGUUGACCGCCUGGGGAGUAC
Molecule: ribosomal RNA, 535 nt
Filed under: uncultured bacterium
Lineage: Bacteria
Description: partial 16S ribosomal RNA
Rfam family: Bacterial small subunit ribosomal RNA
Source: RNAcentral